GAUGAACGCUGGCGGCGUGCCUAACACAUGCAAGUCGAACGGAGACCAGCCUUUAAGGCCUUCGGGUCGAAGGGGGGACGACUGAGUGGCGGACGGGUGAGUAACACAUGGGCAACUUGGCUCAUUGAGGGGGCUAACAGCGAGUAAUUUCUGCUAAUCCCGUCUACUCAUACACUGCGUCAUGGCGGAGGGUGAAAAGAGAAUCGCGAGGAGAUGGACCUGCGUCUGAUUAGCCAGUGUGCAGGGUAAGAGCCUACCAAAGCGACGAUCAGUAGACGGUCAGAGAGGAGGAAAUGCCACAUUGGAAGUGAGACAGGACCCAGACACAUACGGGAAGCAGCAGUGGGGUAUAUUGCAAAAUGGGGGGAAAACUGAUGCAGCGACGGCGCGUAAGAGAAGAAGUAUGGCGGAAUGUAAAGCUCUAUGAGCAGAGAAGAUAAUGACAGUACCUGAAUAAGAAGCCCCGGCUAACUACGUG
This 478-nucleotide ribosomal RNA is filed under the name uncultured bacterium. RNAcentral describes it as "partial 16S ribosomal RNA". It matches the Rfam family "Bacterial small subunit ribosomal RNA", at positions 28 to 507 of the family's 1533-position model. The record is from RNAcentral.